This is a long non-coding RNA of Notothenia coriiceps (black rockcod), 291 nucleotides long. RefSeq lists it as uncharacterized. The record is from RefSeq and is a predicted model, not a curated record. Lineage: Eukaryota; Metazoa; Chordata; Actinopteri; Perciformes; Nototheniidae. The transcript is spliced from 4 exons.
UUUUUCCCAAUAUUGUUGCAGAACCUACAGAUACUAUCGUCAUCCCCAGGAAGAAAACAUGGAGCAAAGAGGCGGUGCUGGAGGCUCUGUCUUCCACUGUGGGCAGGGAUCCUACAGCAUAUCCCUACAACUUCCAGGAUGAUCCUUUCCUCUCGCCCCGGACAGUUAAUGAGUUUAAGUUGUUCUCUCUCGCUAAGGAGUCUGGCAGAUCUGCAGCCAAAUUCUUUAUCAACAAUAAUCCCAAGUAUUUCACCACAGACUUCGCUGAACCACAUAUACCGGUAAGAACAC